This 253-nucleotide ribosomal RNA is filed under the name uncultured bacterium. RNAcentral describes it as "partial 16S ribosomal RNA". It matches the Rfam family "Bacterial small subunit ribosomal RNA", at positions 524 to 776 of the family's 1533-position model. The record is from RNAcentral.
UACGGAGGGGGCUAGCGUUGUUCGGAAUUACUGGGCGUAAAGCGCGCGUAGGCGGUUUGUUAAGUCGGAUGUGAAAUCCCCGGGCUCAACCUGGGCACUGCAUCCGAUACUGGCUGACUAGAGUGUGGGAGAGGAAGGUAGAAUUCCAGGUGUAGCGGUGAAAUGCGUAGAGAUCUGGAGGAAUACCGAUGGCGAAGGCAGCCUUCUGGCCUAACACUGACGCUGAGGUGCGAAAGCAUGGGGAGCAAACAGG